GGCUGCUUCUGACAGAAAGAUCAGACAUCAUUCCUCUUUUCUUACCAAGGUAAUCAGAGACUGCUCCCUGUUGUGAGAAGAUGAAGAUGAGGAAGAAGAGGAAUGCUCUCGAGGAUAAAUGCAGAGUGGUAGGUUACCUUCGGUCCUUCAUUGAAAAUGCAUCUUGUGC
This is a non-coding RNA of Maylandia zebra (zebra mbuna), 169 nucleotides long. Lineage: Eukaryota; Metazoa; Chordata; Actinopteri; Cichliformes; Cichlidae. The record is from RefSeq and is a predicted model, not a curated record.